GCCCUGCUGGCGCAAUGGUAGCGCGCAAGACUUCUAUCUAAUAGAGAUCUUGAGGCUGUGGGUUCGACCCCCACGUAGGGCU
This is a non-coding RNA of Aspergillus sclerotiicarbonarius CBS 121057, 82 nucleotides long. The record is from the annotation of a GenBank genome assembly. Lineage: Eukaryota; Fungi; Ascomycota; Eurotiomycetes; Eurotiales; Aspergillaceae.